RNAcentral lists this long non-coding RNA (361 nucleotides) under Trifolium pratense (red clover). Its description in RNAcentral is "long non-coding RNA (TPRA_LNC006704)". The record is from RNAcentral. Lineage: Eukaryota; Viridiplantae; Streptophyta; Magnoliopsida; Fabales; Fabaceae.
AAAAUUUAAAUUAUAUAAAAAAGUAACGAGACUCCUAUGUGAUAUAAUAUUAAUAAUUAAAAAUUAUAGGUAUAUAUAUGUUCUCUUUAAUUAACUAAUAAUCGAUCUCCUACCCAAUCUUAUAUUAACUCUGUCGAGUCAUUAAUUUCUUGUAUAAUCAUAUUCGGUAAAUUUGAAGAUGGAGCAAUCAAAAUUUAAACUUUUGUUUUCAAGUGUAAGUAGUUCGUUCUUUGUAAAAAUAUUCAUAAUUAAAUAAAUAAACUUUUGUUUUAUUUUCAUAAAGAUAUAUUUUGAAGAACUUGCAAAAUUGUCGAUGAACAUAUAGAUUCUUUGAUUUUCUCUUCGAUUUCUUGUAUUAUAA